GGGGUUGUGGCUUAGUGGUAGAGUGCUUGCCUUGCACACAUGAGGCCCUGGGUUCAAGCCUCAGCACCG
This 69-nucleotide transfer RNA is filed under the name Ictidomys tridecemlineatus (thirteen-lined ground squirrel). RNAcentral describes it as "Spermophilus tridecemlineatus (thirteen-lined ground squirrel) tRNA". It matches the Rfam family "tRNA". From Rfam's summary of the family: Transfer RNA (tRNA) molecules are approximately 80 nucleotides in length. Their secondary structure includes four short double-helical elements and three loops (D, anti-codon, and T loops). The record is from Rfam by way of RNAcentral. Lineage: Eukaryota; Metazoa; Chordata; Mammalia; Rodentia; Sciuridae.